Molecule: ribosomal RNA, 492 nt
Filed under: uncultured bacterium
Lineage: Bacteria
Description: partial 16S ribosomal RNA
Rfam family: Bacterial small subunit ribosomal RNA
Source: RNAcentral
AGUGAACGCUGGCGGUAGGCCUAACACAUGCAAGUCGAACGGCAGCACAGUAAUAGCUAGCUCUUACGGGUGGCGAGUGGCGGACGGGUGAGGAAUACAUCGGCAUCUACUUUUUCGAGGGGGAUAACGUGGGGAAACUUACGCUAAUACCGCAUACGACCUACGGUUGAAAGCAGGGGAUAUUCAGACCUUGCGCGAUUGAAUGAGCCGAUGUCGGAUUAGCUAGUUGGCAGGGCAAAGGCCCACCAAGGAGUCGAUCCGUAGCUGGUCUGAGAGGAUGAUCAGCCACACUGGAGCGGGGACACGGCCCAGACUCCUACGGGAGGCAGCAGUGGGGAAUACUGGAGGAUGGGCGCAAGCCUGAUCCAGCCAUACCGCGUGGGUGAAGAAGGCCUUCGGGUUGUACAGCCCUGUUGUUGGGAAAGAAAAGCAGCAGGUUAAGACCCCGAUGUUCUGACGGUACCCAAAGAAUAAGCACCGGCUAACUUCGUG